GACCUUACUUGAACAGGAUCUGUUCUAUAGGCUAUCUCUGUAUCCUUGACUUCUAAGGAGACAGGAAAUCAAGUCUGGUGGAUGAGCCAUGGCUGCUCGUCCAGAGCGUGAUUAACAUACUCAUUGGCUCGGCCAAUCUGACAGUAGAUGAUCGUUCUUGGUCAGCUUCGGCUGGCUAGGGUGGUCGAGCAGCUGUCUGACAGACU
Molecule: small nucleolar RNA, 206 nt
Filed under: Erythranthe guttata (spotted monkey flower)
Lineage: Eukaryota; Viridiplantae; Streptophyta; Magnoliopsida; Lamiales; Phrymaceae
Description: Mimulus guttatus (spotted monkey flower) Plant small nucleolar RNA U3
Rfam family: Plant small nucleolar RNA U3
About the family: Small nucleolar RNAs (snoRNAs) are involved in the processing and modification of rRNA in the nucleolus. There are two main classes of snoRNAs: the box C/D class, and the box H/ACA class. U3 snoRNA is a member of the box C/D class.
Source: Rfam by way of RNAcentral